This 1367-nucleotide ribosomal RNA is filed under the name uncultured bacterium. RNAcentral's name for it is "bacterial SSU rRNA". It matches the Rfam family "Bacterial small subunit ribosomal RNA". The record is from RNAcentral.
GAGUUUGAUCCUGGCUCAGGACGAACGCUGGCGGCGCGCCUAACACAUGCAAGUCGAACGAGCGAGAGAGAGCUUGCUUUCUCAAGCGAGUGGCGAACGGGUGAGUAACGCGUGAGGAACCUGCCUCAAAGAGGGGGACAACAGUUGGAAACGACUGCUAAUACCGCAUAAGCCCACAGCUCGGCAUCGAGCAGAGGGAAAAGGAGCAAUCCGCUUUGAGAUGGCCUCGCGUCCGAUUAGCUAGUUGGUGAGGUAAUGGCCCACCAAGGCGACGAUCGGUAGCCGGACUGAGAGGUUGAACGGCCACAUUGGGACUGAGACACGGCCCAGACUCCUACGGGAGGCAGCAGUGGGGAAUAUUGCACAAUGGGGGAAACCCUGAUGCAGCGACGCCGCGUGGAGGAAGAAGGUCUUCGGAUUGUAAACUCCUGUUGUUGAGGAAGAUAAUGACGGUACUCAACAAGGAAGUGACGGCUAACUACGUGCCAGCAGCCGCGGUAAAACGUAGGUCACAAGCGUUGUCCGGAAUUACUGGGUGUAAAGGGAGCGCAGGCGGGAAGACAAGUUGGAAGUGAAAUCUAUGGGCUCAACCCAUAAACUGCUUUCAAAACUGUUUUUCUUGAGUAGUGCAGAGGUAGGCGGAAUUCCCGGUGUAGCGGUGGAAUGCGUAGAUAUCGGGAGGAACACCAGUGGCGAAGGCGGGCUACUGGGCACCAACUGACGCUGAGGCUCGAAAGUGUGGGUAGCAAACAGGAUUAGAUACCUGGUAGUCCACACCGUAAACGAUGAUUACUAGGUGUUGGAGGAUUGACCCCUUCAGUGCCGCAGUUAACACAAUAAGUAAUCCACCUGGGGAGUACGACCGCAAGGUUGAAACUCAAAGGAAUUGACGGGGGCCCGCACAAGCAGUGGAGUAUGUGGUUUAAUUCGACGCAACGCGAAGAACCUUACCAAGUCUUGACAUCCUGCGACGCACAUAGAAAUAUGUGUUUCCUUCGGGACGCAGAGACAGGUGGUGCAUGGUUGUCGUCAGCUCGUGUCGUGAGAUGUUGGGUUAAGUCCCGCAACGAGCGCAACCCUUACUGUCAGUUACUACGCAAGAGGACUCUGGCAGGACUGCCGUUGACAAAACGGAGGAAGGUGGGGAUGACGUCAAAUCAUCAUGCCCUUUAUGACUUGGGCUACACACGUACUACAAUGGCGUUAAACAAAGAGAAGCAAGACCGCGAGGUGGAGCAAAACUCAGCAACCACGUCCCAGUUCGGACCGCAGGCUGCAACUCGCCUGCACGAAGUCGGAAUUGCUAGUAAUCGUGGAUCAGCAUGCCACGGUGAAUACGUUCCCGGGCCUUGUACACACCGCCCGUC